AGCGAACGCUGGCGGCAGGCCUAACACAUGCAAGUCGAACGGCCGUAGCAAUACGGCAGUGGCAGACGGGUGAGUAACACGUGGGAAUGUACCCUUCGGUUCGGAAUAACCCAGGGAAACUUGGGCUAAUACCGGAUACGCCCUUACGGGGAAAGAUUUAUCGCCGAAGGAUCAGCCCGCGUCCGAUUAGCUUGUUGGUGGGGUAAUGGCCCACCAAGGCUGCGAUCGGUAGCUGGUCUGAGAGGAUGAUCAGCCACACUGGGACUGAGACACGGCCCAGACUCCUACGGGGGGCAGCAGUGGGGAAUAUUGGACAAUGGGCGCAAGGCUGAUCCAGCCAUGCCGCGUGAGUGAUGAAGGCCCUAGGGUUGUAAAGCUCUUUCGGCGGGGAAGAUAAUGACGGUACCCGCAGAAGAAGCCCCGGCUAACUUCGUGCCAGCAGCCGCGGUAAUACGAAGGGGGCUAGCGUUGCUCGGAAUCACUGGGCGUAAAGCGCACGUAGGCGGGUCCGUU
Molecule: ribosomal RNA, 513 nt
Filed under: uncultured bacterium
Lineage: Bacteria
Description: bacterial SSU rRNA
Rfam family: Bacterial small subunit ribosomal RNA
Source: RNAcentral